GUUAUAGACGCCUUGUAUACUCUGGGUGUAUGGCGGGUCUGUAGUGUAUCGGGUAGCCUUCCGCUGGAAUCCGAGCGUGACAGGUUUGGUCGCCGAUUGCGACGAAACCCAUCCACUCUCCAAUCUCCAAAAAGCCCUUUUUGCGAUAAAACCCCUUUUUCGCGAAAACCGUGUAUCAGAACCCAAAUCCAUUAGCGCCAUUGGGUCUAGGAUAGUCGAACCAUCGAAAACGAGCUAUUGGAUCACUAUGAACGGAGUCCAAUAUGCACUAGAAGCCAUCUCCACUGAUUGGCCUCUCCGAAAAAUCAAAGUUACUAUUCUAUAACUUCUCCAUCCUAACUUGUUUUCUCCUGAAACAUGACGAGUGCUUAUAUAAUAAAAUUACACACAUAAACAUCCUCAACAAAGAGUUUAACUAUAC
RNAcentral lists this long non-coding RNA (421 nucleotides) under Ananas comosus (pineapple). RNAcentral's name for it is "long non-coding RNA (ACOM_LNC010138)". Lineage: Eukaryota; Viridiplantae; Streptophyta; Magnoliopsida; Poales; Bromeliaceae. The record is from RNAcentral.